GUACGUAAUUUUUUGCCCAGCCACCCACUCGCUAUUCCGCGAACAAUUGGACAUCAUGGAUUGGAACGGAACGGACGGAACAGAAGAAGAAUAACUUUAUGCAAGCCGAGAUUCAUCCGUGGAGUGCAAAAAGAGAAGGCUUUACUUGUGUACAAACAAAGUUUUGCGUACAAAAAGAAUCACAAUGCAGCCUAAUUUAGCCCGAGCCAGGUUGUUGUAAGAAUUGAGUCGAUUGGAAAAGUUUUACGGGUGUAAUCGAUAGACCGACGGACAGACAAACAGACAUGACGGUUCCAUAAGCCCUGAUUCGGGCUGCACAAAAACGACCGGAAUAGUUAGUAUUUGUUUAAAUAAAAUUCUGCUUGAAAUGUA
This is a long non-coding RNA of Folsomia candida, 372 nucleotides long. RefSeq lists it as uncharacterized. NCBI's taxonomy places the organism in Eukaryota, Metazoa, Arthropoda, Collembola, Entomobryomorpha, Isotomidae. The transcript has 2 exons. The record is from RefSeq and is a predicted model, not a curated record.